GUGCUCGCUUAAAUAGCUCAUAUAGUACAAUUGGAAUGCUACAGAGAACAUUAGCAUGACCCCUGCACAAGGAUGGCACACAUAUUCAUGAAGCAUUCCAUAUUUUU
RNAcentral lists this small nuclear RNA (107 nucleotides) under Phascolarctos cinereus (koala). Lineage: Eukaryota; Metazoa; Chordata; Mammalia; Diprotodontia; Phascolarctidae. The record is from RNAcentral.